GGGCCCGCACAAGCAGCGGAGCGUGUGGUUUAAUUCGAUGCUACACGAAGAACCUUACCAGGGUUUGACAUGCAAGUGGUAGGAACCGAAAGGCGACCGACCUUCGGGGAGCUUGCACAGGUGCUGCAUGGCUGUCGUCAGCUCGUGUCGUGAGAUGUUCGGUUAAGUCCGCUAACGAGCGCAACCCUCGCUGUGUGUUACAAGUGUCACACGGGUACUGCCGGUCUUAAGCCGGAGGAAGGUGGGGAUGACGUCAAGUCAGCAUGGCCUUUAUGUCCUGGGCUACACACACGCUACAAUGGCCAACACAAUAGGUUGCUAAGCCGCGAGGUGGAGCCAAUCCUCAAAGUUGGUCUCAGUUCAGAUUGCAGGCUGCAACCCGCCUGCAUGAAGAUGGAGUUGCUAGUAACCGCAGGUCAGCUAUACUGCGGUGAAUACGUUCCCGGGGCUU
RNAcentral lists this ribosomal RNA (451 nucleotides) under uncultured Leptolinea sp. Its description in RNAcentral is "bacterial SSU rRNA". It matches the Rfam family "Bacterial small subunit ribosomal RNA", at positions 917 to 1382 of the family's 1533-position model. The record is from RNAcentral. Lineage: Bacteria; Bacillati; Chloroflexota; Anaerolineae; Anaerolineales; Anaerolineaceae.